This 592-nucleotide long non-coding RNA is filed under the name Capsicum annuum. RNAcentral describes it as "long non-coding RNA (CANN_LNC012222)". The record is from RNAcentral. Lineage: Eukaryota; Viridiplantae; Streptophyta; Magnoliopsida; Solanales; Solanaceae.
GCUCUUCAGGCUUGGCAGCUACAUGAGAACAAGCACGAAACUGAGCUGGUGGAUGCAAAUCUCUCUGAAUUUGAUGUAGACGAAGUGAAAAAAGUAAUAAUGAUCGCUCUACUAUGCACUCAAACAUCCCCAGGAUUACGGCCUUCAAUGUCCCGUGUAAUAGCAAUGCUUACAGGAGAUGCUGAGGUUGCCGCUGUGACUUCCAGACCUGGAUACCUGACCGUCUGGAAAUUUAAAGAUACAACAAGCUUCAUGAUUGAUCAUUCUUCGCAAAUGCACAAUUCAUCAGACCGUCUGGAAAUUUAAAGAUACAACAAGCUUCAUGAUCGAUCAUUCUUCGCAAAUGCACAAUUCAUCAGAGGGUACAAGUACAGCCGCGACUACAAAUUAUUCACCAUCAGGUGCUGACACACCGAUGCUCACUGAUCAUUGGAGAGGGUAUAUGAAAUCUUGUAUAUUUGAUGAAGCUAGACAUCAGAUAAACAUUUAACCUUUUGUUUGCGCUUUGAAGAUCUCAUCUUUCUUGAGAUUCUUUCUGCAUGUAACCCUUUGUGUAUACCUUUUCGUCGAUUUAAGGAAUACUUUUACCUAA